Quercus robur (English oak) is the source of this 1250-nucleotide long non-coding RNA. RefSeq lists it as uncharacterized. The transcript is spliced from 2 exons. The record is from RefSeq and is a predicted model, not a curated record. NCBI's taxonomy places the organism in Eukaryota, Viridiplantae, Streptophyta, Magnoliopsida, Fagales, Fagaceae.
UAAAUUUUCUAACAAAUAAAUAAUUAGGAAGAUCUCCAUACAUAUAUGGAAUAAAUAGAGCAUCCAAUAAAAUCUUGACUUAGACUUUCUUGUAGACUUCGCAGCCUCUCUUUUUUACUUGCUUGCUUCAAUUUUCUUCACAGAUCUCUCCUAGUUUUUCUCUGCGCUUCGGCAAAAACAGAAACCAAAGAGGAAGUGCCAGAAAAUUAUAAAAAAACAACAAAGGGUCAUAACUCAUAAGCCUCAUAAGCUUUGUUUUUGCCACGACAGUGCAAUUUGUUGGGUACACAGUGGUUGAGGUGUGUCGAUAGGCCCAAUGUUGACAUCAACGAGGCCCAACAGCUGUUAACACUCGUUUCAGAGCCCUUUCUUUCUCUCUUGGGUUUCUCACUCUCCCCAUCUUUUUUCAGUUUUUACAGUUUUUGUUUGACACAUAUUGAAGGUUAGGUGUCAAUAUUGAAUAACAGCUGAACACAGCUGAACAUUCACACUUAACAGCAUUUUGAAUCUGCAACUAAACCUUACUAUCAAAUACCUUUUUUUUUAUUUACUACCAUGAUUUCAAUGCCAAGAUUCACUGCAUCUUCAACGUGAAUCUAUUUGUUCCACCCAAUUUUCCUCGUUCCCAAUCAUAAGUCAGAGCCAUGACUAUUAUGCCACUGAUGUUUCGGUCAAUAGUGAGACUGCUCACAUCACUAGUGUCUCAACCAGCAGCCUCUGUCACUACCAUACUCUACUACAGUGGUCUCCUCCCUCGAAACCUGAAUUUGGAGCGAUUGGUUAGGACUGAAUUCCUUGAUCGAGAGAACUAUAUGUUCCAUUUUCUCAUCAACAUGAUGAGGUGUUUCUGGUAGCUGAGCACCAUCCCCCACAUAAAUUCUUAUCUCCUAUGGCUAUGGUUAAUCUUAUUUUUGUUAUGGUAGAAACUUUAAGAAAAGUUAGGUACUCCUUUCAAAAAAAAGUUAGGUACUUAGCUACUAGUAUAUGAACCCCAAUUUGUUUCAGAUUGGACCAUAUUUUUAAUGCAAUCAUACCCAUUGAUGGAUUAGUGUUAAGUGAGUUAACAUAUGCAAUUUUCAAGAGAGAUUUUGAGAACAAAGCAAACUCAAUUUAUGGUAGAGGCAGACUGUAAAUUUGAGAAAAUAUGAUGUGGCUAGAAUUUUUGUUUUCUUGAAGAAGGGGACACUAUUGGUAUGGAACCUCCUUCAGAAAUCAUUAUUGAAUGUACUUUAAAGCAUUUGCAUGAUUCA